CCUACGGGGGGCAGCAGUGGGGAAUAUUGGACAAUGGGGGCAACCCUGAUCCAGCCAUGCCGCGUGUGUGAAGAAGGCCCUCGGGUUGUAAAGCACUUUCAGUGAGGAAGAACGCCUGGUGGUUAAUACCCAUCAGGAAAGACAUCACUCACAGAAGAAGCACCGGCUAACUCCGUGCCAGCAGCCGCGGUAAUACGGAGGGUGCGAGCGUUAAUCGGAAUUACUGGGCGUAAAGCGCGCGUAGGUGGCUUGAUAAGCCGGUUGUGAAAGCCCCGGGCUCAACCUGGGAACGGCAUCCGGAACUGUCAAGCUAGAGUGCAGGAGAGGAAGGUAGAAGUCCCGGUGUAGCGGUGAAAUGCGUAGAGAUCGGGAGGAAUACCAGUGGCGAAGGCGGCCUUCUGGACUGACACUGACACUGAGGUGCGAAAGCGUGGGUAGCAAACAGGAUUAGAUACCCCAGUAGUU
RNAcentral lists this ribosomal RNA (465 nucleotides) under Vreelandella stevensii. RNAcentral's name for it is "partial 16S ribosomal RNA". It matches the Rfam family "Bacterial small subunit ribosomal RNA", at positions 338 to 795 of the family's 1533-position model. Lineage: Bacteria; Pseudomonadati; Pseudomonadota; Gammaproteobacteria; Oceanospirillales; Halomonadaceae. The record is from RNAcentral.